Molecule: long non-coding RNA, 1191 nt
Organism: Daktulosphaira vitifoliae (grape phylloxera)
Lineage: Eukaryota; Metazoa; Arthropoda; Insecta; Hemiptera; Phylloxeridae
Exons: 3
Source: RefSeq, a predicted model, not a curated record
AUAAUCAUAAAAAAUGAUUUAUUUUUUUUUAUUAGAUGUAGUUUAAAAUUCAUUUUAUAAUUAAUGUAAGAGAUUUAUAUAUCUUAUGAUCAAGCAAUUUACAAAUGUGUUGAAAUAAAAUUACUUGGCGUUAGAUCUAGGUUGAUAACAUAAUGUGCUACUCAAAAAAACACGUUAUUGAGUCUGUUUUAAAGGGAAAUUAUUAAAAUAUAAUGCCGAAUACAUCAAAAAAAUGUAUUUUUUGAUUUUUUGGUGUAUCAUUGAACAAUAACAGUCCACGAUAUUGUAUUAUGAUUCCCCAUCUCUUUAGCGACACUUAUAUUGAAAAUAACAACAAAAGUUGUUUUGUACUGUGCAAUGAUAGCUUUGUCGGCAGUCGGUAUUGCUCUACGUAACUCUUAGGCCAGUCAACGAAGGAGUAAUUUUGGCAAAUGGCGGAAAAAAUUCACAACCAAUUUUUUUUUUUUUUAAAGUUGAAUUAAGAUAUUUAUAAUGAUAUACUAAAAGUCCUCAUCGAUUGGACUUGAGAUUUUUUUUUUACAGCCUCGCAAAAGUUCAAAAAUAUGAGCUUUUUUAAUUUUCGUAACUGUUUAAAAUAAAAUAAAAAAUUAUUUUAUGGUUCUUGACCAAUAGAAACAUUUUGAUGAAUUUAAAAAUAAAAAAACUAUGUUUUUAAAUUUUUAUAGUUAGUUAUAAUCAUUUAACUUAAACAGUUACCAAGGUUACUAUUAAUAAAUGAGCAUGGUAAAGUUUCGUGACGGAUGGUCGUCAAAAUUAGAGUAAUCUCAAUGAAUUUCAAUGCACCAGAAUAUUAUUUUACAAUGUCACGGUAAACUUGAUACCUUUUUUUUUUUUUAAUAAAAAUAAUUUUUAGUAAAUAGCAUUUGAUUUUUUAACAUAACUAUUCCUUUAUUAGAUAUAAAAAUUUAAAGUUUCAAAUUAGUUGUAAAACACAUUGUUUUGAGUUAACAUUUAUAAAUAAAUCAUUUGGCAAUACAGAUAAUAUAGAUGUAUAUAUCGUUAAAAUUAUUAAAGGUUUUCUUAAAUUUUUUUUAUAAUUUCUGGUCAUUUUUUUUAUGAUAUCUCUAUAGACCUAAUUUAUAACAACGUUUUAAGGCGUUUGGGUACCGACUGCUUUUUAGUCAAAAACAACCAAUUUUUGUUCUAUCAGUACGACAAAACUAGUGAUGU